Molecule: ribosomal RNA, 383 nt
Filed under: uncultured bacterium
Lineage: Bacteria
Description: bacterial SSU rRNA
Rfam family: Bacterial small subunit ribosomal RNA
Source: RNAcentral
AUUGAACGCUGGCGGCGUGCCUAACACAUGCAAGUCGAGCGGUAACAGGUGUAGCAAUACAUGCUGACGAGCGGCGAACGGGUGAGUAAUGCUUCGGAAUCUACCCAAUGGUGGGAAUAACCAGCCGAAAGGUUGGCUAAUACCGCAUACGUCCCACGGGAGAAAGCAGGGGAUCGCAAGACCUUGCGCCAAUGGAUGAGCCGAAGUCGGAUUAGCUAGUUGGAGGGUAACGGCCUACCAAGGCGACGAUCCGUAGCUGGUCUGAGAGGACGACCAGCCACACUGGGACUGAGACACGGCCCAGACUCCUACGGGAGGCAGCAGUGGGGAAUAUUGGACAAUGGGGGAAACCCGUCGAUCCAGCGACGCCGCCGUGUGUGAAG